Molecule: small nucleolar RNA, 198 nt
Organism: Labrus bergylta (ballan wrasse)
Lineage: Eukaryota; Metazoa; Chordata; Actinopteri; Labriformes; Labridae
Product: small nucleolar RNA SNORD17
Source: RefSeq, a predicted model, not a curated record
GUGAAGUGAUGAAUCUGUUUAUCCAUUCGCUGAGCGGCCAUCUGGUCUCUGUCUCUAGCCCUGCCCUCGUUCUGGGGGCGGAGCCUCUCCACAGCAGUGUCAGUGUCGCCAUGGCGUUCUGUCAGCGGCGACCUGACGCUGCACGGAGAGAAUGACUUGACUGGACUGCUGCAGAGACGAUUUAAAUGUUCUGAUCAC